GGUUUCCCAGCUCGUCCGGUAAACUUUCGAACUUGUUACCAUCCAACCUCAGAAUUCCUAGCUGUGCAGCGUUCUUGAUAUCGGAAGUCACACUGCCGUUGAGCCUGUUGGAAGAGAGCUCCAAGACGGUCAGGUUGGGGGAGGCCCAGAGCUUUGGCGGAACAGGGCCUUCGAGAUGGUUGUCUUGCAGCCUCAAUCGCACCCAGCUUUUGCAAUCGCUGAAGCUCUCAGGAAUUCCUCCCGACAGCAUGUUGCCGUACAGGCUCAGGUUUUGCAGAGCAUUUCCACCGCAGAUGAAAGGUGGCACACCUCCGGUAAGUUUGUUUUGUGAGAGUGUGACGUAGCUGAGCCUGGCUUUUUUUCCUAGGGACUCGGGGAUUUUGCCUGUCAGGUUGUUUGCGAAUGCUGUGAAUUCUUCGAGGUUUUCCAAAUCCGCAAGACUUUCUGGGAUGCUCCCUGUCAGGCGAUUCAAGUGGAGAUGAAGUAUCCGCAGAUUUUUUAUCCCUCCAACCUGUGUAGGAAUGCUGCCAGUUAAAGCGUUCUCGGAGGCAUCCAAGUCGGUAAGCAGCAUGAGGUUGCCAAUCUCAUAUGGAAUCUGACCCGAGAGCUUGUUUUUGUAGAGCUCGAGCAUCUUCAGCUUAGGAAGGUACAUGAGCUCAACAGGAAUGCUGCCGGUGAGAUUGUUGGACUGGAGCUCGAGGUCUUCGAGCUCUUUUAAGGCACCUAGCUCGGGUGGAAU
Molecule: long non-coding RNA, 739 nt
Filed under: Selaginella moellendorffii
Lineage: Eukaryota; Viridiplantae; Streptophyta; Lycopodiopsida; Selaginellales; Selaginellaceae
Description: long non-coding RNA (SMOE_LNC000634)
Source: RNAcentral